UGAGUUUUUUGAGGAAUGUGCUUUGAAAAGUCUAGUUUUCCAGAGGUGCUGAAGUGCUUGGCCUCUUCCUUAAUGUUCUUGCUGAUGUCUCUCUAAUGCCUGGCUGCUACCUGUGUAGAAGGAUGUUCUUGCCAUACUGAGGAGAAUCUUGCUAUCGAAGAGUAGAGGAUGAAACUUCCUUUGAACAAGCUUCAGCUGAAAACUAGAGCCGUAUGAGUAACUUUGCUGUUUGGU
This is a long non-coding RNA of Nothoprocta perdicaria, 234 nucleotides long. RefSeq lists it as uncharacterized. The record is from RefSeq and is a predicted model, not a curated record. Lineage: Eukaryota; Metazoa; Chordata; Aves; Tinamiformes; Tinamidae. The transcript is spliced from 3 exons.